Molecule: ribosomal RNA, 253 nt
Filed under: uncultured bacterium
Lineage: Bacteria
Description: partial 16S ribosomal RNA
Rfam family: Bacterial small subunit ribosomal RNA
Source: RNAcentral
UACGUAGGAGGCAAGCGUUGUCCGGAUUGACUGGGCGUAAAGCGCACGCAGGCGGUUGCGCGCGUGGGGUGUGAAAUCUGGGCGCUUAACGGCCAGGCGCCAUCCCAUACGGCGCGACUGGAGGGCUGCAGAGGUCGAUGGAAUUGCCGGUGUAGUGGUGAAAUGCGUAGAGAUCGGCAGGAACACCCAGGGGGAAACCAGUCGACUGGGCAGCACCUGACGCUGAGGUGCGAGAGCGUGGGGAGCGAACAGG